Molecule: transfer RNA, 69 nt
Filed under: Afroedura langi
Lineage: Eukaryota; Metazoa; Chordata; Lepidosauria; Squamata; Gekkonidae
Description: tRNA-Trp
Source: RNAcentral
AGAAAUUUAGGUUACAUAAAAACCAAGAGCCUUCAAAGCCCUAAACAGGGAUUACUCCCCUAAUUUCUG